CCCUGGUGGCUCAGAGGGUAAAGCACCUGCCUGCAGUGCGGAAGACCCAGGUUCGAUUCCUGGAUCAGGAA
This is a non-coding RNA of Bos taurus (domestic cattle), 71 nucleotides long. Lineage: Eukaryota; Metazoa; Chordata; Mammalia; Artiodactyla; Bovidae. The record is from Rfam.